CAUUAGGUUGACUCUGCCUAACGUAGAUGCUAGUCUUUAAGAUUAAGCCAUGCAUGCUAAGUGAACCUGUACGGGGGAACGGCGAACGGCUCAGUAA
Molecule: non-coding RNA, 97 nt
Filed under: Enterospora canceri
Lineage: Eukaryota; Fungi; Microsporidia; Enterocytozoonidae
Description: Microsporidia small subunit ribosomal RNA
Rfam family: Microsporidia small subunit ribosomal RNA
Source: Rfam by way of RNAcentral